This 73-nucleotide transfer RNA is filed under the name Canis lupus familiaris (dog). It matches the Rfam family "tRNA". Rfam says of the family: Transfer RNA (tRNA) molecules are approximately 80 nucleotides in length. RNAcentral also lists the same sequence under 3 other names. Lineage: Eukaryota; Metazoa; Chordata; Mammalia; Carnivora; Canidae. The record is from Rfam by way of RNAcentral.
ACCUGGCUAGCUCAGUUGGUAUAGCAUGAGACUCUUAAUUUUAGAGUUGUGAGUUCAAACCCCACGUGGAGUG